Molecule: ribosomal RNA, 405 nt
Filed under: uncultured bacterium
Lineage: Bacteria
Description: bacterial SSU rRNA
Rfam family: Bacterial small subunit ribosomal RNA
Source: RNAcentral
GAUGAACGCUGGCGGCGUGCCUAAUACAUGCAAGUCGAACGCAUUGUGGUUGAAAUGAUAUGAAGAACUUGUUCAGAUUUGAUUUUCAACAUUGCAAUGAGUGGCGAACGGGUGAGUAACACGUGGGAAACCUACCUCUUAGCAGGGGAUAACAUUUGGAACAAAUGCUAAUACCGUAUAAUAUUAAAACCGCAUGGUUUUAGUUUAAAAGAUGGUCUUGCUAUCACUAAGAGAUGGUCCCGCGGUGUAUUAGUUAGUUGGUGAGGUAAUGGCUCACCAAGACAAUGAUACAUAGCCGAGUUGAGAGACUGACCGGCCACAAUGGGACUGAGACACGGCCCAUACUCCUACGGGAGGCAGCGAUAGGGAAUCUUCCACAAUGGACGAAAGUCCGAUGGAGCAACG